AGAGUUUGAUCAUGGCUCAGGACGAACGCUGGCGGCGUGCCUAACACAUGCAAGUCGAACGAGGUCCAUCCAGUGGCAACACUGGUGAAGACCUAGUGGCGAACGGGUGAGUAACACGUGAGGAACCUGCCCCGAAGACCGGGAUAACCCUCCGAAAGGAGAGCUAAUACCGGAUGCCCUUUCCGGACCGCAUGAUCCGGCAAGGAAAUGGAUUCCGCUUCGGGAGGGUCUCGCGGCCUAUCAGCUUGUUGGUGGGGUAACGGCCCACCAAGGCUUCGACGGGUAGCUGGUCUGAGAGGACGAUCAGCCACACUGGGACUGAGACACGGCCCAGACUCCUACGGGAGGCAGCAGUGGGGAAUCUUGCGCAAUGGGCGAAAGCCUGACGCAGCAACGCCGCGUGGGGGAUGAAGGCUCUCGGGUUGUAAACCCCUUUCAGCAGGGACGAAUUUGACGGUACCUGCAGAAGAAGCCCCGGCCAACUACGUGCCAGCAGCCGCGGUAACACGUAGGGGGCGAGCGUUGUCCGGAUUUAUUGGGCGUAAAGAGCUCGUAGGCGGCUCAGUAAGUCGGGUGUGAAACCUCCAGGCUCAACCUGGAGACGCCACCUGAUACUGCUGUGGCUGGAGUCCGGUAGGGGAGCGUGGAAUUCCUGGUGUAGCGGUGAAAUGCGCAGAUAUCAGGAGGAACACCAGCGGCGAAGGCGGCGCUCUGGGCCGGUACUGACGCUGAGGAGCGAAAGCGUGGGUAGCAAACAGGAUUAGAUACCCUGGUAGUCCACGCCGUAAACGUUGGGCACUAGGUGUGGGUCUCAACCAACGGGAUCUGUGCCGUAGCUAACGCAUUAAGUGCCCCGCCUGGGGAGUACGGCCGCAAGGCUAAAACUCAAAGGAAUUGACGGGGCCCGCACAAGCGGCGGAGCAUGUUGCUUAAUUCGAGGCAACGCGAAGAACCUUACCUGGGUUUGACAUGUAGGGAAAAGCCGUAGAG
This 990-nucleotide ribosomal RNA is filed under the name uncultured bacterium. RNAcentral describes it as "bacterial SSU rRNA". It matches the Rfam family "Bacterial small subunit ribosomal RNA", at positions 8 to 1005 of the family's 1533-position model. The record is from RNAcentral.